Molecule: microRNA, 23 nt
Filed under: Lottia gigantea (owl limpet)
Lineage: Eukaryota; Metazoa; Mollusca; Gastropoda; Lottiidae
Description: Lgi-Mir-210_5p* (star (passenger))
Source: RNAcentral
GGACGCAGUUUUACGCACUUACA